UACGAAGGGGGCUAGCGUUGCUCGGAAUUACUGGGCGUAAAGCGCACGUAGGCGGCUCUUUAAGUCGGAGGUGAAAUCCUGGAGCUCAACUCCAGAACUGCCUUCGAUACUGUAGAGCUUGAGUUCGGGAGAGGUGAGUGGAACUGCGAGUGUAGAGGUGAAAUUCGUAGAUAUUCGCAAGAACACCAGUGGCGAAGGCGGCUCACUGGCCCGAUACUGACGCUGAGGUGCGAAAGCGUGGGGAGCAAACGGG
RNAcentral lists this ribosomal RNA (253 nucleotides) under uncultured bacterium. Its description in RNAcentral is "partial 16S ribosomal RNA". It matches the Rfam family "Bacterial small subunit ribosomal RNA", at positions 524 to 776 of the family's 1533-position model. The record is from RNAcentral.